UGCUCCGGGGGGCUCGCCGAGGUGCGGCUCCGGCAGCGUUUUGCGAAGACGCGGGAUGCGCCUUGUCCGCGGCUUCCCGUUAACAGGAAGACAGGGAAGGGUCUCCGAGGGUGGCCUAGUGCAUCGCCCUUCCUGGAGGCAAAACUAGUCCUGCUGGGGUGUGGCAGGGCCGGUUUAACCUUCAGAGGCAAACGGGAUGUAGAGGUCUAAGCGGGUGCUUUUUGGAUGGCGCCCAGUGAUCAAGUGAAGAGGGUAGUCGACUUGGCUAUAUAAAGAUAGAGGAUUGGCGACUUGGAUCCUACUACUGACUCCCUGAAUCUGGAGAAGCUGCUGUCUCUUUUCCACUUGCUUCCUUAAGAAGAAGAGAAAACCAAAACAGAAAUCCACAACAACCCUGAUUUAAUGGCCCCAUAGUGUCCUGAGGUCAUCAGAUUGAAAAUGCUAAGCACAAUUUGAGACAGGCAAGAAGACUGAGUACCUGUUCUGUCAAAGGAUGCUGGAAUGCUUGUUUUUGGAAAACACCAAAUUCCCCCUGCAUUCUCCAGAUGGUGUGUGAGGUCCUGCCCAAUAUCUACUGUAAAUCCUUUGGCGUAAGUAGUUGUUGCAUCUUUUUGUCUCACCAGCCCCAUCAUCUUCAGGAAGCCUGGCUAUGAAAUCACAUGGAUUACUCUUCUAUUGCCAAUUUCCUGUGGAAAUUAGAUGUCCAGUAUGCCUAUUUGGUUUCUACGUGUGUAUAUUUCUUAAUGAGUCCACUUUGAGAUAUUUCCUGUUUCUGAUUUUCAUAGCUAUUUAAGAGAGUAUCAAACAUAUUUAAGUCUUCAAAGAGAUGAAACAUCCUGAUUUUAAUAUCCAGUAAUCUCCAGUGCUCUUGUAUGUAUUUUCUUGCUUGGUCUUAUUCUAGUCAUAAAGC
Long non-coding RNA from Rhea pennata, 910 nucleotides. RefSeq lists it as uncharacterized. NCBI's taxonomy places the organism in Eukaryota, Metazoa, Chordata, Aves, Rheiformes, Rheidae. The transcript is spliced from 3 exons. The record is from RefSeq and is a predicted model, not a curated record.